CCUACGGGAGGCAGCAGUGGGGGAUAUUGCACAAUGGGGGGAACCCUGAUGCAGCGACGCCGCGUGGGUGAAGGAGUGCUUCGGCAUGUAAAGCCCUAUCGGCAGGGAAGAAGCAAGACGGUACCUGACUAAGAAGCCCCGGCUAACUACGUGCCAGCAGCCGCGGUAAUACGUAGGGGGCGAGCGUUAUCCGGAUUCACUGGGUGUAAAGGGAGCGUAGACGGCCAUGCAAGCCAGGGGUGAAAGCCCGGGGCCCAACCCCGGGACUGCCCUUGGAACUGGGCGGCUAGAGUGCGGGAGGGGCAGGCGGAAUUCCUGGUGUAGCGGUCAAAUGCGUAGAUAUCAGGAGGAACACCGGCGGCGAAGGCGGCCUGCUGGACUGCGACUGACGUUGAGGCUCGAAAGCGUGGGGAGCGAACAGGAUUAGAUACCCCUGUAGUC
RNAcentral lists this ribosomal RNA (441 nucleotides) under uncultured bacterium. RNAcentral describes it as "partial 16S ribosomal RNA". It matches the Rfam family "Bacterial small subunit ribosomal RNA", at positions 338 to 795 of the family's 1533-position model. The record is from RNAcentral.